RNAcentral lists this transfer RNA (40 nucleotides) under Codonoboea albomarginata. Its description in RNAcentral is "Henckelia albomarginata partial transfer RNA-Phe". Lineage: Eukaryota; Viridiplantae; Streptophyta; Magnoliopsida; Lamiales; Gesneriaceae. The record is from RNAcentral. RNAcentral also lists the same sequence under 2 other names.
UGGUCGGGAUAGCUCAGCUGGUAGAGCAGAGGACUGAAAA